RNAcentral lists this ribosomal RNA (160 nucleotides) under uncultured bacterium. RNAcentral's name for it is "partial 16S ribosomal RNA". It matches the Rfam family "Bacterial small subunit ribosomal RNA", at positions 355 to 507 of the family's 1533-position model. The record is from RNAcentral.
UGGGGAAUUUUGGACAAUGGGCGAAAGCCUGAUCCAGCAAUGCCGCGUGCAGGAUGAAGGCCCUCGGGUUGUAAACUGCUUUUGUACGGAACGAAAAGCCUGGGGCUAAUAUCCUCGGGUCAUGACGGUACCGUAAGAAUAAGCACCGGCUAACUACAUG